This 1761-nucleotide unclassified non-coding RNA is filed under the name Hevea brasiliensis (rubber tree). Lineage: Eukaryota; Viridiplantae; Streptophyta; Magnoliopsida; Malpighiales; Euphorbiaceae. The record is from RNAcentral.
CUAAGCAACAAAAGUGUCAAUUUGUGAUAUGGGACCCAAUCCACAGUGAAUAGGUGAAUAAUCCAGCCAAAAUCCAGAAGCUUCAAUCCACGGUCCAUACAUCAAGAUCUAAUAAACAAAUUGCCCCCACAUUAAUCAAAAUAAAGGCAAGUGGACAAAGCCCUCUUUGCUUCUUCAAUUCUCUUCACAUCCCUCUAGAAAUUAAUAAUAACAAUAAUAAUACCCAUAAAGAGCACCAUCAUCUAUCCCUCUCUUUCCCUUUUCCCUACCACACUCACCUUGUCUAAUGUCACAAUUCACAAAUGUAUGCUUUUUUGACAUGGUCAAUGCCCAAAUGAGAGAGAGAAUCUCUUGCAAUUCAAUUGAGUUAGAAGGAACCAAGAAAAAUACAUUUGUCAUCAUAAAUAUACAAAUGAGAGUGAUUAAGAUAUGGGAUCUUUAAACUUCCACACCACCACAGAGAGAAAGAGACUGGGUUAUCUUUUGCUGUCUUUUUCUUUCUGAUUAAAAUCAAGAGAUAUGGGAUCUAUCUUUCUUUAUAUUUAUAUAUACAGAUGGCUUCUUAAGAUCUAUGAUCCUAGGGGUCCCCUACUGGUGGUAGACUCUGAUAAUUGGUCCACUUCCCAACUUUGUCUGGGUGCAACCUUGUCGUGGAUUGCUGUGUACUCCUCCAUUUUCUUGAGGAGUUCUGCUGCUGUUUCUGCUAUAACCACAAUAUGCCUUGCUGUAUCUUUUAUAAAACCUUCUUCAACCCCCUUAUCAAACAAGGAAAGCAAGCUGUUGUAAUAUCCUUCUACAUUUAACAAUCCCACCUGUUUCAAAAUUCAAAAUCCAGAGAUGAUAACAAAGAAAGAGAACCCAUCAGGGUUUAUCUUCUGAAAGAACUGGUGAAGACAAGGAAAAAGCUUAAAAUUAAAACCCUUCUUACUGGUUUGUCAUGAAUUCCUAGUUGAGACCAGGCAAUUAUCUCUAACAGUUCUUCCAGGGUUCCAUAACCACCUAGGCAAAUUACAAAAAUUUGGAUUCAAGACUAUGUUAUUUAAGUAUACUUAGUUUUGUGCAUGUCUUGUUUUCUUUGAAGGAAAACUUAUGCAUAUACCAGGAAGUGCAACGAAAGCAUCUGCAUGUCUUGCCAUUUCUGCCUUUCUUUGGUGCAUAUCUGCAACAGUUAUCAUUUCUCCUAUGGUUUCUCCUGAUAUCUGGCAAGUGGAUAGCUUUAGUUUUAAUCUUCCAUUUUUAUCUUCAACGAUAUAGAAGCAUGUAUAAUUCUUAACUGGGGAUCGAAUAGUACCUCAUGAGGCCUGAGAGCCUUCGGCAUCACUCUAUACAAGAAGCAAAGCUUGAGCAAAUAAUAUGUCAAGUUUUCUAAUAUGCCAACCAAAAGAAAAGCAAAGCAAAGAAAUAAAAAUGUAGAAUAUAAUACCCAAGAACAUGGCAACCUCCAUUAAAUACAGUUUGUGAUAUCAAACCCAUAAGCCCUACACUUCCCCCACCAUAGACCAAAUCAAUCUUUCUCUGAACCUGACAUAACAUGAACAUAAACAAUGAAACAGGACAUGCAAAAGAUCUCAUAAAGGAAAUUUAGAUUAUAUAUAUAUAUAAAGAAAAGAUGAAUAAAUUAUUUGAAUAUAUGUGUAUUACCAGUUCUUUACCAAGUUCAAGAGCAGCAUCACCAAAUGAAGACUUGUAUCCAGCUCUACUCCCACAGAAGACACAUAUCCUCUUAAACUUCCUUGUCUUUUCACUUGUUGCAGUUGUUCC